GAAAAAAAAAAUCCCUCUUCAUAUGAAUUAAGAUUUACGAAGCAGAAUCAACCAAAUUCCAAACCGAAAGAAAGAAAAAAAGAAAAAUUCUCCAAUAUUCUAUCAUAGAUAUCUAAGCAUUCACACUUAUACUUCCACAGCAUAACUAUCAAAUUUUACACUAAAUUUAAUAAAAAAAAAAUUUCCAAAAUUCCCACCAAAUCUGACCACUUCCCGGCAGUCCAACAAACACUCGCCAAAAUUAAUGCCAUAUGAGCGAAAAACCACCAAAAAUUACCUUUGAAAGUGUUUCCACAAUUG
RNAcentral lists this unclassified non-coding RNA (300 nucleotides) under Hevea brasiliensis (rubber tree). The record is from RNAcentral. Lineage: Eukaryota; Viridiplantae; Streptophyta; Magnoliopsida; Malpighiales; Euphorbiaceae.